GCCCCGUUAGUGUAGCGGCCUAACACGCCACCCUUUCAAGGUGGAGAUCACGAGUUCGAAUCUCGUACGGGGUACCA
Molecule: transfer RNA, 77 nt
Filed under: Chloroflexota bacterium
Lineage: Bacteria; Bacillati; Chloroflexota
Also listed under: 2 other names
Description: Chloroflexi bacterium (seawater metagenome) tRNA-Glu
Rfam family: tRNA
About the family: Transfer RNA (tRNA) molecules are approximately 80 nucleotides in length.
Source: RNAcentral